GACGAACGCUGGCGGCGUGCUUAACACAUGCAAGUCGAACGGUGAAGCGCCUUCCUUUUUGGUGGGUGUGGAUGAGUGGCGAACGGGUGAGUAACACGUGAGUAACCUGCCCCCUUCUUCUGGAUAACCGCAUGAAAGUGUGGCUAAUACGGGAUAUUCUGGGUCUGUCGCAUGAUGGGUCUGGGCAAGAUAUUGUUUCGGUGGGGGAUGGGCUCGCGGCCUAUCAGCUUGUUGGUGGGGUGAUGGCCUACCAAGGCGGUGACGGGUAGCCGGCCUGAGAGGGUGGACGGUCACACUGGGACUGAGACACGGCCCAGACUCCUACGGGAGGCAGCAGUGGGGAAUAGUGCACGAUGGGCGCAAGCCUGAUGCAGCGACGCCGCGUGAGGGAUGGAGGCCUUCGGGUUGUGAACCUCUUUCGCCAGUGAAGCAGGCCUGCCUCGUUUGUGGGUGGGUUGACGGUAGCUGGAUAAGAAGCGCCGGCUAACUACGUG
Molecule: ribosomal RNA, 494 nt
Filed under: uncultured bacterium
Lineage: Bacteria
Description: partial 16S ribosomal RNA
Rfam family: Bacterial small subunit ribosomal RNA
Source: RNAcentral